This is an RNA transcript of Hyaena hyaena (striped hyena), 2798 nucleotides long. It is a transcript of the gene named zinc finger protein with KRAB and SCAN domains 8-like, with no coding region annotated. The record is from RefSeq and is a predicted model, not a curated record. The transcript is spliced from 5 exons. NCBI's taxonomy places the organism in Eukaryota, Metazoa, Chordata, Mammalia, Carnivora, Hyaenidae.
CGAGCUGAGCACGCUGGAGCCUGGCCGGCCUCCCCUCCGGCCGCAGGCCCGACGCGCCAGUGCGGCCUGGUCUUUCCCACGGCCUCCCGAGUUCUGUGGCGCUGCCGUGACCACGUGCACCCCUGGAAUCAAAGCCAGAGGCACGAAUAAGGUGUCUGUUCUGAGGGAAGAAUUUUGUAAGGAUGGACCCACACAAGCAGGUUGCCAGCAUACAUAAUGGGGAUACGUUACAGGUACCUGAGCGUGAGAAAGCCUCUCAGUAUGUGAACCGGGUACAAAGGCAAGAAGUCUGGCCCACAGAAGGGAGACGGUACACUUGUAGUGAAUGUGGAAAGAAGUUUGCCCAGAGCUCAGGCCUCGUUCGACACCGGAGAAUCCACACUGGCGAGAAACCCUAUGAGUGUGAUCACUGCGGAAAAGCCUUCAGUGUGCGCUCCACCCUCACUGUGCAUGAGAGAAUCCACACAGGCGAGAAGCCCUAUACUUGUAACGAGUGUAGGAAAGGCUUUGGUGUGAGGGCACACCUGAUCAUACAUCAGAGAAUCCACAACGGGGAGAAACCGUAUGAAUGUAAUGAGUGUGGCAAAGCAUUUAGUGUGAGCUCAGACCUUAUCAAGCAUCAGAGAAUCCACUCUGGGGAAAAGCCCUAUGAGUGUGACGAAUGUGGGAAAGCCUUUAGCGUGAGCUCAGCCCUCAUCAAACACCAGAGAAUCCACACAGGAGAGAAGCCGUAUGAGUGUAAGGAGUGUGGGAAGGCCUUCUAUGUGAACUCCGCCCUUAUUAAUCACCAAAGGAUUCACUCUGGAGAAAAGCCCUAUGAGUGUGGAGAAUGCAGGAAAGCCUUCAGCCAGAUCUCAACCCUUAAUCAUCACCAGAGAAUCCACACUGGAGAGAAACCGUAUGAGUGUGACGUGUGUGGGAAAGCUUUCCGUGGGAGUUCUAAUCUUACCAAACACCAGAAAAUACAUGCCAAACUAAAGUGUCGUCAUUGAUUUAUGUGGUGAAGAUAUUUCAAAGGCCUUUUUUUUGUAUCAGAAGUCAACACCAAGAGAAGAACAUGGAAAAAAUUAAUGUUUUAAUUGAUACUUGGCCUUUUGGGAUAUUCAAGAAGUGAGAAGUCAGUGAAAAUUGACUCCAGAAUGAUUAAAGCUCUGAAAUCACGUCGACUUCUGAGAGUGCUCCUUUUACAACUUACAAGGAUGGAGGUUUGCAGACAGAUUCUUCUGGGUGGAGAAUACUCUUCUGAGAUCAGCACUGAAGUGAUGGCAUAACCCACCCCAAACCAGCGCAACUGAAUCCGAAGCAGUAAGUGGACCUCCCUGCAUCCCCCAGCUCCCGCCCGCAAAUCUCAGUCGCUUACAGUACAGGACUUGGUCUUGCCUGUGCUGUGUGUCAGCCGUGGCUCAGUUGCAGCUCUGCAGUGUGUUCUCUCCACCCCAGGACCUGAGGAGUAAAAGAAACACAGCGAGAGUAACUCCUGGCCUUAGACAAGGAGUCCAGCUCCAAGGAGAGUUUUGCGGAAGCCCAGCACAGAAGACUAACUGGGAACAUACCUCAGGGCCUCCACAUGCAACAAGUCCAGGGCCUUCGGAAUAGUCUAGCCAAGUGAGGGACGAGCCCCUUUCAGGAAUCACGGCUUGUAUUGCUUCAAGCCAGGAGAGUAUCUGAUAAAGGGAUAAGUGUCACUGAUAACUAUCUGCUAAGUAUCACCCUGGUGAGGACACUUAGGAAAACCUGCCCUGAAGUUCACUCCUGUCAGUGCUCUGGGAGCAGGGAAUUCUCCCUUCACCUUGUGCUCAGUUGUGAUAAAACGUAAGUGCCCCAGAAACGCCUCUCCCUGAUAAAACAAACCCGGACACCAGCACUCCUGACUAAGCCCCAGCAGACUUGAGGAAACCCUAUGAGGAUUCUCAGCACGGAAGGACCUUCAGUGUAAACCCAGCGCCUGUGGCACUGCACAGCCGAGAAGCCACCAUGCAGAAGAGUCCCGUGAGAGUAGAGAAUGUGGCAAAGCCUUCAGGUACUUGGAUAGUCUUGUCGGAUAUCAGAGAACCCAUGAAGAGAUCUUCAGUGCCGUAAAUGUGAGCUCAACUCUCAUUAAAAAGAAACAGGGGCGCCUGGGUGGCUUAGUCGGUUAAGCAUCCGACUUCGCUUAGGUCAUGAUCUCACGGUUCGUGGGUUCGAGCCCUAUGUGUGACUGCUCUGAGGACCUCUCAGCGUUAGCUCAGGUCUUACAGUGCAUCAGAGAUUCCAUAUGGAGAAAAGCUCUUUGUAAGUGAUAUGGGAAAGCCUUUAGUCAAAGUUCAGAUCUUACCAAACAUCAGUCUGUACUGGAGAGAAGUCUUAUGCCUGGGGCAGGUAUGAACUCCUUUCUUACCAGACAUCAAAGGAUACACAACAAAAAUAAACUUCAGUUGUCAAAUGUGUUGUAAAAGUAUAGUACAGGACUUCUUCAACAUCAAACAUCACAGUUAGGUAGGAAGAGCAUGCGACUCUUGAUCUCAGGGUCAUGAGUUCGAGCCCCACAUUGGGCUAGAGUUUAUUAAAUAAAUAAGUAAAAACUUUAAAAAACCAAUUGCAUACAACCACUUUAGCAUUUUAUGGAAUUAAGAUGAGUGUUAUUAGAGACUUUGUCAGGUCACUUCAUGGGGACACUUGAAUGAAAACAUCUCUGUGACGGAUCUCUACAGCUAUUUAACUCUCUUUGGCACAGUUUCAUUUUCUGUAGUAAACGUUGCGGGGGGUGGGGGUGGGCUCUUUAUUCCCAACCUUUGAUGAUUGAAACAUUACUACAUUUA